This is a non-coding RNA of Desulfobacteraceae bacterium IS3, 46 nucleotides long. NCBI's taxonomy places the organism in Bacteria, Pseudomonadati, Thermodesulfobacteriota, Desulfobacteria, Desulfobacterales, Desulfobacteraceae. The record is from Rfam.
CCCGGAAAUGAAUUUCCGGGCUAUUAUGUGUCGUCCCUACAGGACU